This 2538-nucleotide long non-coding RNA is filed under the name Dunaliella salina. Its description in RNAcentral is "long non-coding RNA (DSAL_LNC000027)". Lineage: Eukaryota; Viridiplantae; Chlorophyta; Chlorophyceae; Chlamydomonadales; Dunaliellaceae. The record is from RNAcentral.
CACCUUCAGGAUCUUGGAGCCGUCCACCCUGUAGCGGGUGCGCUUGCCGACAAUCUCGGUGGGGUGGACCAAGUCGUCCAACACAGCCUCAUGCACCUGCAGUCAACAUUUUGAGAGGCAGCGUUACCACCUGACCGUCUUGUCAACCUUGCACAUGCUGUCAACCCACUAAUACCAGUGUGUGUGGACAACAACUUACCAGCUGCAGUCACAGGGUCUGUUCAUGCUUCUGCUCAGCUGCCCCCAGGAGGAAGGUGCAGCAAAUAGUAGACCUUUCCUCCCUUUCCUGCCUUUCCUGCCUGCGCUUGCCAAGAUUUCUCAACACCAGGCUGUAUCAAGAUGCAUGGAAUGCAUUGAAACAGGACUCCUGGCUCAUACUCUCUGAACUGUGUGUGGCAGCAGGCACCCUUCUGGUUAAGGUACAAGCUGCCUGAAGCAAGGUCCAACCCCGCAACCUUUUCCUUCUCUUUCCUUGCAGGGUGGCAACACUGCAUGUCUAAUUCUAACUCGAGGAAAAACGUUUAUUCCCAGGCAGCAUUCUCUGAUAUCUACUGUUGGGGACAUAUUCAGCUGAGCCAGCAACUUCUGUCACAAACCUACAGCACAGUCCCCCCCAACGCUGCCAGACCCAUGGGAGCAUAAUAAUCCUUGCUUUCCUCUCUUGACUUUUAAGGUAAAAUUAAAGCAAAGCAUGCAAUGUUCAACGAGUGUACGUGAUGGUCCAUGCAUGCUGGAGCAGAGAGCACCUUCUGCAAGCCAAGGAGGCCUGUCACUGUCAAGCUACACCAUUACAGAAGCUCAUGCUGUAGCUGUGAUGAAGUUCAAGGGAGAUUCUUCUGAGUGGAUGCAUGCAUGGCUCAUUGUUCACACGCACACACACACACACACACACACACACACACACACACACACACACACACACACACACACACACACACACACACAGGCAUGGCUUGCACACUCGGAUUGCAGACAGAGACAAUCUGGCAUCCUUGCAAUUGAGAUGCUUGCUUGCCUUUGCUACCUCACAAAGAUGAGGGCAGUGAUUCAAAAGUCUGAAGUAGCAUCCUUACAAUGAAGCUGCCCUGCGUUUGCUAAACUUCCUUUAUGACCAAACUUUUGUGUAUUUGCUAGACUGAUUGGGACCAGAGAAAAGCCAUUGCUCAUGAAAACUUCGGUACAGUCGAGAACAAGAAAACUGGCAGGUCCUCAAGAUGAGCUUGAAGGGGCAAGUUCUGGACCGAAGGAAUUGUUGCUGCACUCCCUCUCUACAGCAAGCUGGACAUGUGCACACGCAAGCACAAAUAUUUCUUGCAUGCCAUGCAGGACAUGGGGAACAACACAUUCAACCACUGUGCCUCAACAUCCCCACUUCUGGUUCCAGGAGAUUUGGAAGGAGCAACUUUGGGUCUCAUGGCACUAUCGCUGCUGCUGUGGACACGGAUGACAUGGGCUAACUGAAGGCAAUGGAUUGAAAAGCGAUACUGCUCCUUCCGAAAAUCAUUUACCUUACCCGCACUUACUCAGUGCACACCCUUUUUCAAAAAUCGGAUUCACGUCCGCGCCACUUAAGCACACCUGACAGAAAUUAUAUUUUUUUUGUACGCAUGCUUACGCAGUGCCCAAAGGGCCUGAGCCCACACAGAUGAACCAGCACACACACACACACACACACACACACACACACACACACACACACACACACACACACAAAACAAACACACACAGAGAACACCCCGCGCAGUGGAGCUCCAGCAUUUAUGCACACAAGCAUAUAUGCUUGUACACAAUAUUCGCAUGUACCCAAGCACAUGCAAAUGCGAAUGCUCAUGCAUGCGCACCCUUGCAUUAAUGUUCACAAGUGAAUGGGCCUAAGACGUGCAUGCACGAGCACCAAGGGGGCCCCCCCACACAGGCUUGUCAUCGCUGGACUGGAACUCGCCGCGAGGAGGAGAAGACCGCUGCUCCUGCAGCUGCUGCCGCUGCUCACUGCCUUGCCCGCUUAUCGCUACCAAAAAAAAACUUUUUUUCCGCUGAUCUAUGCGUUCGCACCGCUUCAGAUAAUUAUUUUUUCACCAAUUUCUGAGCAGCACCCAAAAAAGUUAUUUUUGCACAAUGACAUGUUAAUACAAGUACGGUACAUACCGCAUGUCCCCAUCGAUAACUCAAGGCCCCAUGCACACAAUACUUAAAGAUCCCCAUGCAUGCGUCCAUACAUGCGUAUGCACAUGUGCUCUUGCACGCAUGCGUGCUCUGCCCUGCAUGCACCCACGAACAUCCACAUGCGCGCACACACACACACACACACACACACACACACACACACACACACACACACACACACACACACACACACACACACGUAGCCUCAACUCACCGCAGUCAAGGUGCGCGAGCGUGGCCUGGAGAUGGACUUGCCGUUCUUGGGGGGUGGCAUGAUGCGUCGGGUGCCAAUGAACACCACGUCCUUGCCGCUGAACUUCUUCUCCAGCUCACGCACCAGGCGGGGCUGGAUUUUGUGGAAAGCCUUCAGGAGGC